This 497-nucleotide ribosomal RNA is filed under the name uncultured bacterium. Its description in RNAcentral is "partial 16S ribosomal RNA". It matches the Rfam family "Bacterial small subunit ribosomal RNA", at positions 28 to 507 of the family's 1533-position model. The record is from RNAcentral.
GACGAACGCUGGCGGCGUGCUUAAUACAUGCAAGUCGAGCGAACAGAUGAGGAGCUUGCUCCUCUUACGUUAGCGGCGGACGUGUGAGUAACAUGUGGAUAACCUACAUAUAAGACUGGGAUAACCUCGGGAAAUCGGAGCUUAUAACGGAUAAUCUAUUGAAACGUAUUGUUCAUUAGUGAAAGACGGUUUUGCUGUCUAUUAUAGAUGGCUCUGAGCUGCAUUAUCUAGUUGGUAAGGUAAUGGCCUACGAAGGCAACGAUGCGUACCCGACCUGUGAGGGUGAUCGGCCGCACGGGAACGGAGACACGAACAAGACUCCUACGAGAGGCAGCAGUAUGGAAUGUGCCGCAAUGGGCGAAAACCUGACGGAGCGACGCCGCGUGAGUGAUGAAGGUCGUCUGAUCGUAAAACUCUGUUAUUAGGGAAGAACAAAUGUGUAAGUAACUAUGCACGUCUUGACGGUACCUAAUCAGAGAGCCACGGCUAACUACGUG